Molecule: ribosomal RNA, 1418 nt
Filed under: metagenome
Description: bacterial LSU rRNA
Rfam family: Bacterial large subunit ribosomal RNA
Source: RNAcentral
AUGCCUUUUGGGGCAGCCUUGGAGUUGAGUGUUAUAGAGGUAGAGCUACUGAUUGGACUAGGGGGCUUCACCGCCUACCAAAUCCUGAUAAACUCCGAAUGCUAUAACAUAUAUCCAGGAGUGAGCGUAUGGGUGCUAAGGUCCGUACGCGAGAGGGAAACAACCCAGACCAUCAGCUAAGGUCCCCAAAUAUAUACUAAGUUGAUCAAACGAGGUCUGAUUGCUUUGACAGCUAGGAUGUUGGCUUGGAAGCAGCCAUUCAUUUAAAGAGUGCGUAACAGCUCACUAGUCGAGCGAUCGGGCGUGGAUAAUACUCGGGCAUUAAGUAUAUUACCGAAGCUAUGGAUUACCGCAAAUGCGGUACUGGUAGGGGAGCAUUCCAGUGGCAUCGAAGGUGUGUCGUGAGGCAUGCUGGAGCGGCUGGAAAAGAAAAUGUAGGCAUAAGUAACGAUAAUGCGGGUGAGAAACCCGCACACCGAAAGACUAAGGUUUCCUGAUCAACGCUAAUCGGAUCAGGGUUAGUCGGGGCCUAAGACAAACCCGAAAGGGGUAGUCGAUGGACAACUGUUUAAUAUUACAGUACCAGCUUUCAUUAAAAAGGGGACGGAACGUUAUAAGAUUCGCGUACUGACGGAAUAGUACGUUAAAUCCUGCUAGGCAGGAGAUAGUACACCAAGCCUUCGGGUGAGGUGAUAGUAAUCGGAUCGUGUUUCCAAGAAAAGCCGGAGAAAGCUGCCCGUACCGCAAACCGACACAGGUAGUCGAGGAGAGAAUCCAAAGGUGCUCGAGUGAAUCAUGGCUAAGGAACUAGGCGAAUUAACCCUGUAACUUCGGGAGAAAGGGUCCCUACAGCAAUGUAGGGCGCAGUGAAACGGCCCAGGCGACUGUUUAUCAAAAACACAUGGCUCUGCUAAAUCGAAAGAUGACGUGUAGGGCCUGACACCUGCCCGGUGCUGGAAGGUUAAGAGGAGAGGUUAGGAGUAAUCCGAAGCUUUGAAUUGAAGCCCCAGUAAACGGCGGCCGUAACGAUAACGGUCCUAAGGUAGCGAAAUUCCUUGUCGGGUAAGUUCCGACCUGCACGAAUGGUGUAACGAUCUGGGCACUGUCUCAGCCAUGAACUCGGUGAAAUUGUAGAUCCGGUGAAGAUGCCGGAUACCCGCAACGGGACGAAAAGACCCCGUGAACCUUCACUACAGCUUAACAUUGACAUUGGAUAAACAAUGUGUAGGAUAGGUGGGAGGCUGCGAAGCGGUUUCGCCAGGAAUCGUGGAGCCACCGUUGAAAUACCACCCUUUGUUUAUUCGAUGCCUAAUCCCGGUUAUUCGGGAGACAGUGUUUGGUGGGUAGUUUGACUGGGGUGGUCGCCUCCAAAAGCGUAUCGGAGGCUUCCAAAGGUACCCUCAGCAUGCUUGGUAACC